GUGUCUGGAAGGUGGUGGUCCAAGGCCAUUUUGGCUGCCUAUAAGCAGGGUCUCCAGAACCAAAGGGAGCACACAGUUCUUCUUAAUUGAAGGUGUUUAUGUUCAAGAUGAAACUGAAUUCUAUUUGGGUAAGAGACAUGCUUAUGUAUACAAAGCAAACAACAACACAGUAACUCCUGGUGGCAAACCAAACCAAACCAGAAUCAUCUGAGGGAAGGGCAUUCAGGCCCACAGAAACAGUGGCAUGAUUCAUGCCAAAUUCUGAAGCAAUCUUCCUGCUAAGACCACUGGACACAGAGUCCCUGUGAUGCUGUCCCUCUCAAGGA
This 326-nucleotide long non-coding RNA is filed under the name Homo sapiens (human). RNAcentral's name for it is "non-protein coding lnc-ZNF77-3:1". The record is from RNAcentral. Lineage: Eukaryota; Metazoa; Chordata; Mammalia; Primates; Hominidae.